GCCUUCGUGGUGUAGUGGUUCUGCACGCUGGACUGGUAUUCCAGAGGUCCGUGGUUCGAUUCCCGGCGAAGGCG
RNAcentral lists this transfer RNA (74 nucleotides) under Stegodyphus dumicola. RNAcentral's name for it is "tRNA-Thr". It matches the Rfam family "tRNA". From Rfam's summary of the family: Transfer RNA (tRNA) molecules are approximately 80 nucleotides in length. Lineage: Eukaryota; Metazoa; Arthropoda; Arachnida; Araneae; Eresidae. The record is from RNAcentral.